This 775-nucleotide non-coding RNA is filed under the name Papilio xuthus (Asian swallowtail). The record is from RNAcentral. Lineage: Eukaryota; Metazoa; Arthropoda; Insecta; Lepidoptera; Papilionidae.
AAUUUUUUAUGAUUUAGGAAGUUUAAUUUAAAUUUAUUUUACAUAUAAAUUUUAGUAUGAAUUUUUAAUUAUUUUAAUAAUUUUUAAAAAUUAAAUUAUAGUAAUUAAUAUUAAAAAUUUAAGAAAUUAAGAUUUAGUAAUAUUUAAAAUUAUUAACAAAUUUUGUGCCAGCAGUUGCGGUUAAACAAAAAAUAAUUUAAAUUUUAUUAGUAAAUAAUAAAUAUUAAUAUAAAUGAAAUUAAAUAUUAAUUUAUUAGGUGAAAUUUUAAUUUAAUUAAAAUUUUAUUUUGUAAUAUGAUUUAUUAAAUUUUAUAAAAAACUAGAAUUAGAUACUCUAUUAUUAAAAAUUAAAUAAAUAAUACUAAAAUAGUAUGUAAUUAUUUAUAGAAACUUAAAUAAUUUGGCGGUAUUUUAGUUCAUUUAGAGGAAUCUGUUUAAUAAUUGAUAAUCCACGAAUAAAUUUACUUAAUUUAAAAAUUUUGUAUAUCGUUGUUAAAAAAAUAUUUUUUAAUAAAAAUAAUAUUUAAGAAUUUUUAUAAUAAAUUAAUUCAGAUCAAGAUGCAGAUUAUAAUUAAGAAUAUAAUGGAUUACAAUAAGAAAUGAUUAAAUGAAUAAUAUAUUUUAAUAUAUAUUUGAAGGUGGAUUUAAAUGUAAUUUUAUUUAAUUUAUUAAAAUGAUUAAAAAUUGAAAUAUGUACAUAUUGCCCGUCGCUUUCAUUAAUAAAUUGAAAUAAGUCGUAACAAAGUAGAUGUACUGGAAAGUGUUUCUAGAAAGA